This 22-nucleotide microRNA is filed under the name Homo sapiens (human). RNAcentral describes it as "hsa-miR-4298". The record is from miRBase by way of RNAcentral. Lineage: Eukaryota; Metazoa; Chordata; Mammalia; Primates; Hominidae.
CUGGGACAGGAGGAGGAGGCAG